ACGGAAGGCAGCAGUGAGGAAUAUUGGUCAAUGGACGGAAGUCUGAACCAGCCAAGUCGCGUGAAGGAUGAAGGUAUUAUGUAUUGUAAACUUCUUUAGCAGUGGAGUAAUAAGGUGGUCGUGACCACUGAUGCAAGUACACUGAGAAUAAGGAUCGGCUAACUCCGUGCCAGCAGCCGCGGUAAUACGGAGGCUCCGAGCGUUAUCCGGAUUUAUUGGGUUUAAAGGGUGCGCAGGCGGCUUUUUAAGUCAGUGGUUAAAUCGUGACGCUCAACGUCAUCACGCCAUUGAUACUGGAGAGCUUGACUGCGGUCGAGGUUUGCGGAAUUCGUUGUGUAGCGGUGAAAUGCAUAGAUAUGACGAAGAACACCGAUUGCGUAGGCAGCAGACCAGGCCGUAAAUGACGCUCAUGCACGAAAGUGCGGGGAUCGAACAGGAUUAGAUACCCUGGUA
This 453-nucleotide ribosomal RNA is filed under the name uncultured Porphyromonadaceae bacterium. Its description in RNAcentral is "partial 16S ribosomal RNA". It matches the Rfam family "Bacterial small subunit ribosomal RNA", at positions 341 to 792 of the family's 1533-position model. Lineage: Bacteria; Pseudomonadati; Bacteroidota; Bacteroidia; Bacteroidales; Porphyromonadaceae. The record is from RNAcentral.